Molecule: RNase P RNA, 82 nt
Filed under: Neotoma lepida (desert woodrat)
Lineage: Eukaryota; Metazoa; Chordata; Mammalia; Rodentia; Cricetidae
Description: Nuclear RNase P
Rfam family: Nuclear RNase P
About the family: Ribonuclease P (RNase P) is a ubiquitous endoribonuclease, found in archaea, bacteria and eukarya as well as chloroplasts and mitochondria.
Source: Rfam by way of RNAcentral
GUGAGUUCCCAGAGAGCAGGGCUCCACAUGUGGGUCCCAAGUGGGUAGGUGCAUCCCUUGCUGGAGCUUGGAACAGACUUAU